GGGCGUGUGGUGUAGAGGUAUCACGUCUGCUCCGCAUGCAGAAGACCCCGAGUUGAAUUAUCGGCACGUCCA
RNAcentral lists this transfer RNA (72 nucleotides) under Perkinsus olseni. It matches the Rfam family "tRNA". Rfam says of the family: Transfer RNA (tRNA) molecules are approximately 80 nucleotides in length. Their secondary structure includes four short double-helical elements and three loops (D, anti-codon, and T loops). Further hydrogen bonds mediate the characteristic L-shaped molecular structure. tRNAs have two regions of fundamental functional importance: the anti-codon, which is responsible for specific mRNA codon recognition, and the 3' end, to which the tRNAs corresponding amino acid is attached (by aminoacyl-tRNA synthetases). tRNAs cope with the degeneracy of the genetic code in two manners: having more than one tRNA (with a specific anti-codon) for a particular amino acid; and 'wobble' base-pairing, i.e. permitting non-standard base-pairing at the 3rd anti-codon position. The record is from Rfam by way of RNAcentral. Lineage: Eukaryota; Perkinsozoa; Perkinsida; Perkinsidae.